Molecule: ribosomal RNA, 247 nt
Filed under: uncultured bacterium
Lineage: Bacteria
Description: partial 16S ribosomal RNA
Rfam family: Bacterial small subunit ribosomal RNA
Source: RNAcentral
GCGGCGAGUGGCGAACGGGUGAGUAAUGUAUCGGAACGUGCCUAGUAGCGGGGGAUAACUACUCGAAAGAGUGGCUAAUACCGCAUACGCCCCACGGGGGAAAGCGGGGGUCUUCGGACCUCGCGCUAUUGGAUGAGCCUGCGUUGGAUUAGCUAGUUGGUAGGGUAAAGGCCUACCAAGGCGACGAUCUUUAGCUGGUCUGAGAGGAUGAUCAGCCACACUGGAACUGAGACACGGCCCAGACUCC